AAGGAUGAGUGGAACAUCUUAAAUCCGUUGUUUGGGUUGUAGCUCCAGUAACAGCCCUUCAGCAGACUCACCAAAAGCAUCUUGACAUCCCUUCUGACAUGUGUACGUCCUCCCAAGCAGCCCGCCACCAAAAUAAUCGUUUUCCGAGCUGAAUCUAUCAAAGGCGUUCCUCAGGGCAUCCUCAGUGCUGAGCAGCCGCUGGCGCAGGCGGUUCACCUCUGAGUCCAGGGCCGAGGGGUCGAGCAUGGAGUGUCGCCGGUGGUCCGGUGAAGAUCGUUCCCGACCCUGAA
Molecule: long non-coding RNA, 290 nt
Organism: Toxotes jaculatrix (banded archerfish)
Lineage: Eukaryota; Metazoa; Chordata; Actinopteri; Toxotidae
Exons: 3
Source: RefSeq, a predicted model, not a curated record